RNAcentral lists this ribosomal RNA (762 nucleotides) under Microbacterium paraoxydans. Its description in RNAcentral is "bacterial SSU rRNA". It matches the Rfam family "Bacterial small subunit ribosomal RNA", at positions 58 to 818 of the family's 1533-position model. The record is from RNAcentral. Lineage: Bacteria; Bacillati; Actinomycetota; Actinomycetes; Micrococcales; Microbacteriaceae.
AAAGUCGAACGGUGAAGCAGGAGCUUGCUCUUGUGGAUCAGUGGCGAACGGGUGAGUAACACGUGAGCAACCUGCCCCUGACUCUGGGAUAAGCGCUGGAAACGGCGUCUAAUACUGGAUAUGUGACGUGACCGCAUGGUCUGCGUUUGGAAAGAUUUUUCGGUUGGGGAUGGGCUCGCGGCCUAUCAGCUUGUUGGUGAGGUAAUGGCUCACCAAGGCGUCGACGGGUAGCCGGCCUGAGAGGGUGACCGGCCACACUGGGACUGAGACACGGCCCAGACUCCUACGGGAGGCAGCAGUGGGGAAUAUUGCACAAUGGGCGAAAGCCUGAUGCAGCAACGCCGCGUGAGGGAUGACGGCCUUCGGGUUGUAAACCUCUUUUAGCAGGGAAGAAGCGAAAGUGACGGUACCUGCAGAAAAAGCGCCGGCUAACUACGUGCCAGCAGCCGCGGUAAUACGUAGGGCGCAAGCGUUAUCCGGAAUUAUUGGGCGUAAAGAGCUCGUAGGCGGUUUGUCGCGUCUGCUGUGAAAUCCCGAGGCUCAACCUCGGGCCUGCAGUGGGUACGGGCAGACUAGAGUGCGGUAGGGGAGAUUGGAAUUCCUGGUGUUAGCGGUGGAAUGCGCAGAUUAUCAAGGAGGAACACCGAUGGGCGAAGGCAGAUUUUCUGGGCCCGUAACUGACGCUGAAGGAGCGAAAAGGGUGGGGAGCAAACCAGCUUAAAAUACCCCUGGUUAGUCCCACCCGUAAAACGGUGGGAACUU